This 213-nucleotide unclassified non-coding RNA is filed under the name Hevea brasiliensis (rubber tree). Lineage: Eukaryota; Viridiplantae; Streptophyta; Magnoliopsida; Malpighiales; Euphorbiaceae. The record is from RNAcentral.
ACGUGAAUAAGAUCCGUUAUAUCUUAGAUUGCAGUGAUUACAUUUCCACCUUUUUGUACCACUUCCCCGGUCAAAUCCACCAAAGACACUUACAUGUUCCCAUCCCCACUUAUCCGAUUCUGAUGGCAUACUUUCAAGCUCAAGAGCGAGCGGUAAACUUUGCAGAGACGAUUCUUGUUUGAGCAAUCGAAACCUGCGUUUCUUUUUCAAAAG